This 481-nucleotide ribosomal RNA is filed under the name uncultured bacterium. RNAcentral describes it as "partial 16S ribosomal RNA". It matches the Rfam family "Bacterial small subunit ribosomal RNA", at positions 30 to 506 of the family's 1533-position model. The record is from RNAcentral.
AUUGAACGCUGGCGGCAUGCCUUACACAUGCAAGUCGAACGGUAACGGGCCUUCGGGUGCCGACGAGUGGCGAACGGGUGAGUAAUACAUCGGAACGUGCCCGAUCGUGGGGGAUAACGAGGCGAAAGCUUUGCUAAUACCGCAUACGAUCUACGGAUGAAAGCAGGGGACCGCAAGGCCUUGCGCGGACGGAGCGGCCGAUGGCAGCUUAGGUAGUUGGUGGGAUAAAAGCUUACCAAGCCGACGAUCUGUAGCUGGUCUGAGAGGAUGAUCAGCCACACUGGGACUGAGACACGGCCCAGGCUCCUACGGGAGGCAGCAGUGGGGAAUUUUGGACAAUGGGCGCAAGCCUGAUCCAGCCAUGCCGCGUGCAGGAUGAAGGCCUUCGGGUUGUAAACUGCUUUUGUACGGAACGAAAAGCCUUCUUUUAAUACAGGAGGGUCAUGACGGUACCGUAAGAAUAAGCACCGGCGAACUACGU